GACGAACGUUUGCGGCGUGCUUAACACAUGCAAGUCGAACGGAAAGGCCCUGCUUUUGUGGGGUGCUCGAGUGGCGAACGGGUGAGUAACACGUGAGUAACCUGCCCUUGACUUUGGGAUAACUUCAGGAAACUGGGGCUAAUACCGGAUAGGAGCUCCUGCUGCAUGGUGGGGGUUGGAAAGUUUCGGCGGUUGGGGAUGGACUCGCGGCUUAUCAGCUUGUUGGUGGGGUAGUGGCUUACCAAGGCUUUGACGGGUAGCCGGCCUGAGAGGGUGACCGGCCACAUUGGGACUGAGAUACGGCCCAGACUCCUACGGGAGGCAGCAGUGGGGAAUAUUGCACAAUGGGCGGAAGCCUGAUGCAGCAACGCCGCGUGCGGGAUGACGGCCUUCGGGUUGUAAACCGCUUUCGCCUGUGACGAAGCGUGAGUGACGGUAAUGGGUAAAGAAGCACCGGCUAACUACGUGCCAGCAGCCGCGGUGAUACGUAGGGUGCGAGCGUUGUCCGGAUUUAUUGGGCGUAAAGGGCUCGUAGGUGGUUGAUCGCGUCGGAAGUGUAAUCUUGGGGCUUAACCCUGAGCGUGCUUUCGAUACGGGUUGACUUGAGGAAGGUAGGGGAGAAUGGAAUUCCUGGUGGAGCGGUGGAAUGCGCAGAUAUCAGGAGGAACACCAGUGGCGAAGGCGGUUCUCUGGGCCUUUCCUGACGCUGAGGAGCGAAAGCGUGGGGAGCGAACAGGCUUAGAUACCCUGGUAGUCCACGCUGUAAACGGUGGGUACUAGGUGUGGGGUCCAUUCCACGGGUUCCGUGCCGUAGCUAACGCUUUAAGUACCCCGCCUGGGGAGUACGGCCGCAAGGCUAAAACUCAAAGGAAUUGACGGGGCCCCGCACAAGCGGCGGAGCAUGCGGAUUAAUUCGAUGCAACGCGUAGAACCUUACCUGGGUUUGACAUGGAUCGGGAGUGCUCAGAGAUGGGUGUGCCUCUUUUGGGGUCGGUUCACAGGUGGUGCAUGGCUGUCGUCAGCUCGUGUCGUGAGAUGUUGGGUUAAGUCCCGCAACGAGUGCAACCCUUGUUCACUGUUGCCAGCACGUUAUGGUGGGGACUCAGUGGAGACCGCCGGGGUCAACUCGGAGGAAGGUGGGGAUGACGUCAAGUCAUCAUGCCCCUUAUGUCCAGGGCUUCACGCAUGCUACAAUGGCUGGUACAGAGAGUGGCGAGCCUGUGAGGGUGAGCGAAUCUCGGAAAGCCGGUCUCAGUUCGGAUUGGGGUCAGCAACUCGACCUCAUGAAGUCGGAGUCGCUAGUAAUCGCAGAUCAGCAACGCUGCGGUGAAUACGUUCCCGGGGCU
This 1346-nucleotide ribosomal RNA is filed under the name uncultured bacterium. RNAcentral's name for it is "partial 16S ribosomal RNA". It matches the Rfam family "Bacterial small subunit ribosomal RNA", at positions 28 to 1381 of the family's 1533-position model. The record is from RNAcentral.